CGUCACACAAGCGGUGGAGUAUGUGGAUUAAUUCGAAGCAACGCGCAGAACCUUACCUGGGUUUGACAUGGUUGGAUGGCUUACUGGAAACAGUGUAGUCUGCCCGCAAGGGUGAAACUUCCACAGGUGCUGCAUGGCUGUCGUCAGCUCGUGUCGUGAGGUGUUGGGUUAAGUCCCGCAACGAGCGCAACCCCUACGUUUAGUUGCUAACGCGUGAAGGCGAGCACUCUAGACGAACUGCCGUUGACAAAACGGAGGAAGGUGGGAUGACGUCAAAUCAUCAUGCCCCUUAUGUUCUGGGCUACACACGUGCUACAAUGGCCGGUACAGACGGACGCAAAGCCGCGAGGUGGAGCAAAUCCGAAAAAGCCGGUCUCAGUUCGGAUUGCAGGCUGCAAUUCGCCUGCAUGAAGUCGGAAUCGCUAGUAAUCGCAGGUCAGCAUACUGCGGUGAAUACGUUCCCGGGCCUU
This 470-nucleotide ribosomal RNA is filed under the name uncultured Pelotomaculum sp. RNAcentral's name for it is "bacterial SSU rRNA". It matches the Rfam family "Bacterial small subunit ribosomal RNA", at positions 922 to 1382 of the family's 1533-position model. The record is from RNAcentral. Lineage: Bacteria; Bacillati; Bacillota; Clostridia; Eubacteriales; Desulfotomaculaceae.